GUCUCAGCCUCCUCCUGCCUCCUGCAAGGAUAAGAGUCAGUGCAGACAGCUGCCCUGGUUUUCCCAGAGCAGACCCCCAGGGCAUCUCAAGGCAGACCUGUGACACCCCAGUUCCCGUCCAGCUCUGGUUGACCACGGGCAAACUCUCUUUGCCCAUCUGUAAAUUGGGUGCAAUAAAUCCUGCCUCCCUCCCUCAGAAGGUUACCAGGAGGGGCAGACUGGGGGGGGGGCGGAGUGGGCAAGCCCCCACAGUCUGCAAACUGCGGGACACGUGGAGGACAAUGUAGGGGAGAAGCCUCUGGACUCAGCGGCCUCUGCUCCUCUGUGUGUCUUUAAGUGUGCGGCCGAGUCACGUCCGAGAAGCCGGGCAGGCAGGCAGGAAGACUUGACUAGAGCCCGAGAAUCCAGCGUCCCCCUGCAGCCCACCCCCGGUCACAUCAGCUGUGUACACACUCGACUUCUGGAGCAGCACGUGGCCACUCGCUGGUUCUCAACGUGGUGGCAGCUUUGAAUCACCUGGGAGAUUUUAGCAAAUGCCAGUGGCCAAGCUCCACGCCAGAUCGAGAAGCAUCGGCCGAGACCAGACAUUCCUGGCAGGCUGGGGCCUGGUGACACUGUGAAUUCCAAAAGGACUUGGGGGUGUCCGUCUGCGCAGAGUCUUAGGUGGCUGUUGGGGGCCUGGAGUCACCGAUCUGGGCGAAUGGACUCUUGGGGACCCUUAGCCGGGAGUUGCCCACCUGGCAGGGUCCAGGCAGAAAGGACCACAGGGGUGAGCCGGGGACGCGGUUACUGAUGUUUCUGAGAGACCUGAUCCACUCACCUGUGUCAAGAAGACCUUGUUUUGCUCCUGGCUGUGCUCAAGAGGAGUACAGGGACUGGGGAGCCGGCCAGCCGAAAAGUGACCUUCUCAGGGUGACACUGACCAACCAGCUAGAGUUUCAAUGGUAGGGGUGUCUGAGAGACGAUUUGAAGAUGCUCUAGAUGAGGGUCACUUCUUCCUCUUCUUCUUCUUCUUUUUUUUUUUUUUUUGCUGAGGAAGAUUAGCCCUAACCUAACCUAACAUCUGUUGUCAAUCUUCCUCUUUUCGCUUGAGGAAGAUUCGCCCUGAACUAACGUCUGUGCCAAUCUUCCUCUAUUUUAUGUGCAUGGCUGCUGACAAGUGGUGUAGGUCUGUGCCCGGGAACCGAACCUGGGCUGCUGAAGCAGAACACAUCGAACUUAACCACAAGGCCACAGAGCCGGCCCCGAUGAGGGUCCCUUCUUUUCGAUGAGUCUGGAGAGUCUGCACAGGGGUGGGGUUACCAUGCACCAGUCGAUUCAUCCAGGGCUUGUGGGUGGCUGUCCUCUGGGUGGUUGUCCUAGCCAGUGGCCCAGCAGAACUCGUGUCCCCACUGUGUCAAGGACAAUUGGCUACAGGGUGGCUGAGGGCAUAUCUGAUCGUAGGGUUCGAGGAGGGGGUGUCCUCAUUGCUCUUUAAGGACAACAUUGUCCAAUUUUCUUUAAAGUGAUCGCACGUGGUUUUGUUGAUCUCUCUCAGGAAGAGGAAGUAUGUUCGUUGUCAUGAGCUGGUACCGAUGGACGGAGGGCGGCUGGCCAUUCUGGCUUUCCUGGGACCGCCCUGCUCUUAAAACCGAAAGUCCCACAGCCUGGGAAACGCCUCUAUCCUGGGCAAACCGGACCUCCCCAGUGGAGGGAAAAGUCACAAGUUCACAUGACAUGCUGGUCUCGCCAGUCGCUGACCGUCUAACCUGCGUGUCGCCUGCAUGUCCCCGUGGCCGGGUGGAAUGACACCUCCGCACACAUUUGCAGUUCACCAUUGGGUCCAGCGAGCCAGAAUCCUGAGGCUGUUGCUCUUCUUUUUCUUAAGUCAGUUUACAGUGGUUUCUGUUACUUGCAACUGACAAAAUUCUGACAGGUGACAAGCGCAGGCCCUCUGCAUCCCUGUAUCAACCAGCUACAGCCUCAUGGCACAGUGCCUGGCUCAGAACAGGCACUCCGGCCAUGGCAGCUCAGCGAACGAGAGGACGUGCCCUGGCCCUGUAGUGGGCAGCAAUUGCAGUCAGCUGCAAGUAACAGGGAUGCGUGGAGACGCUCCUUGACUCGCAGUGUGACGACAGGCACAGACUGUAGCACGUGGGAGGUGGACGAUGCAUAGCUGCUGGAGAAGUGAAUAAGAUGUUGGGCAGCAGACGGAUGAGUGGAGGGGCAGAUGGAGUCAUUAACUCAGCCAGCAUCCCUGAGCGCUCACAACGGGGGAGGCACCAUGGAUACAAUGUGGAAUAACAAAGUGCCUGCCCUCAGGCGGCUUGCUGUCUGGGAGGUAAGAAGCAGGCAGAGAGACCUGGAAACAAAUCUUAGACCUGCACUAGGCACGCAUGGCUAUUAAGCACUAAAAAAGCCAUCAGUGAUCGCUUGAGAUAUGCUGUAAGUGUAAAAUACAUGCCAGAUUUUGAAGCCUAGGUACAGGAAAAUAAUGCAAAAUCUCGUUAAUAAUGGUUUUAUAUUGAUCGUGCAUUGAAAUGACAACAUUUUGGAGACAUUGGGUUAAAUAAGAUAUUAAAAUGAAUUUCACCUGUUUCUUUUAAAGUGUUUUAAUGUUGCUACUAAAAAAUUUGAAAGUACGCAAGUGGCUCACAUUAUUUCUAUGUUGCACAGCACUGCACUAGGCCUUCAUAAUAUAGUGAAAGUGCUGUCAUGAGUGAGUGCACCAGGAGUGAUAGGAACACAGAGGGGGGCUUCCUGGAGGAGGGGUCUUAAGUGGCAAUGUAGAUAAGUGCUCACCAGAACCUAGGAGAUGCAGCCAAAGCAAUUCUUGAAGGAAAAGUCAUAGCCUUGAAAACUUAUGUUAAUAAACAGGAAAGAAUGAAAAUUGAUGAAUUAAGUAUAUGGUUCAAAUUUGAAAAAGAACAAUUGAACAAAGCUAGGAAACACAAAAGGCAGAAAUAAAGAUAAGAGAGGAAAUUAGUGUAUUAACAAGAGAUAGAAUUAACAAAUGUAUCAAAGCCCUGGAUUUCUUUUUUUUUUUAAAAAAAACAUUUCUUCUGCACUCCUUUUCUUCUUCUUUUUCCUUUUUUAUUGGGUUCAAGUACAUGUGAUGCAAACUUUACCAUCGUAACCAUUUUUAACUGUACAGUUCUGUGGUAUUUUGAGGGGAAAAGAAGCCCCUAACAAUAAAAGGGACACAAUUAACCAUCCCAAUCAAGAAAAAAGGAGAAGAAACCAUAUACAAAAUUAAAAUCCUGUGGGGAAACCAACUACGGAGACACAGAAAGGUCAAAUUCUCAGAAAAUGGGUUCUGGUGGUUGUAAAGGAUUUUGAGAAUUUGAAAACAUAGAAAACAUAAUUUCUAAAAAAUUAUUCCAAAAGAGAUAUAAAAUCUACACAAAUGGAUUACCCUAGGAUAAAUAGGAAGUUGUGCAAGUAUACUACCCUUUCAAAAAAGAAGGCAUAAAGGUCCAGAAUAUUUCAAAGGAGGUCCCCUGCCGCGUCACGUAGGUCAAGACGAUUAAACACUACUGAAACUGCUCGAGCACGUAAAAGAAGAGAAAUUCCCAAUUCCCUUUAUGUAGCAAGCAUACGUCGACACCCAAAUCCACCAAGGGUAUCUCGGAAAGAGAAAAAGGCAUACCAGUGUUGCUUAGGAAUGUUGAUGCAAAAAUAGGGAACCAGGAAACUCAGCGGUGUGUUAGAGGGAUAAAACGUGACGAUCAAGUGGAGUGGGCUCCAGAAAUGCAAGGAUGGCUGAAUGUUAGAAAACCUCUUAACGCAAUUGCAAGUGAUCAUAGAGUUCAAUGAAGCGGAUGGGUCCAAAUCGAUCUGUGGAAACCACACACACGGCGAUCUAUGAUGGCAUCAGAGACCCCAUUUAUGAGAGCCACAUAAAGAACCAUUAGGAGCAAAUUUAAUGGGACCUGUGGUUACCCACUGUGGGUGGUCCGGUUACUUCCUUUUGUCUGUUUUCCCAUCACCUUGGGUUCUGUAGACGAGCUCUAUUGCAGGCAUGAAAUCCUGGCCGUGUGGGAGCUGGUGGAGAAGGGGCCGGGGCAGAGGAGGGUCAAACCCGACCCUCAAGGACAAACCCCCCCAUGUCGGUCUCUCUCGCUUCCUACCUUGAUGCCUGAUGCCCUGCAGGAGAAGCUGGCGCCUUUGCCACGUAGCUGCAUGACCUGGGGCUCAGAGAAGCCGGGGACCACCACGGAGCCUGAUGCUCACCGCUCCUCCAGAGCUGCCUGUGGACCGUGUGCUCUGGGAAAUGUCGCUGCAGCCUAGCCCAAACCCCACAGGACACAGCCACCCCGUUUUGGGGGAAGGGUGAAGGGGUGCUUCUAUGUAGGGUGGCUAAUUGUUUUGGGGUUCAGGGAUCUGCUUGGGACUAGGGGGGUUCUUCCCUGGGACGCGGGAUUUUCUGUGCUAAAAUCAGGCGGGUCCUGGGCAAGCUGGGAUGGGGGGUCAUCCUAUUUAUAUGACCUGGGUCGUAGAGAAUUAACUUACCCUAAGAAAGCUCUUGUCUCUGCCCUCGGCUCCUGGGAGGGGAUCUCUAGGUCCUUGGAAUGUCCUGCCUUAUAAAAGUGUCCUUGUUUACCUGGGAACUUCGGCCACAUCAGACAGUCUAACAAGGUGACUUGUGAUGGGGGCUUUGGGACAUGUGGUGUCCGCUCUACCUCGGGAAGCACCGGGGACCGAUGGCCAGACACGUGGACAGUCAGCCGUGUCUAGGAGAUGGAGCCUGAUGAAAACUCCACCUGCCGGGGCUCGGGGGGGCCCCCCAGGUUGGCGAUACUCCUAGUGUGUUGCCAGGAGGAGCUGACAUCGCCCGUGACCCCCUGGGAGAGGAUGAGCAGAGCUCCAUGCGUGGAACUUCCCCAGGCUCUGCCCGUGCGUCUCUGCCCUUGGCUGAUUUCCACCUGUAUCCUUGUAAUAAACUGUAAAUGUGAGUUUAAC
Equus asinus (donkey) is the source of this 4941-nucleotide long non-coding RNA. The record is from Ensembl. Lineage: Eukaryota; Metazoa; Chordata; Mammalia; Perissodactyla; Equidae.